Molecule: RNA transcript, 705 nt
Organism: Tripterygium wilfordii
Lineage: Eukaryota; Viridiplantae; Streptophyta; Magnoliopsida; Celastrales; Celastraceae
Exons: 5
Source: RefSeq, a predicted model, not a curated record
CGUUUUAGAGAAAGUUCUCGCUCCACCGAGAUCGCCUUGCUUCCAUAGAGCGGCGGCUCGUGCCUUGCGUGAAAUCCUCCCAAUCUGGCCAGACUUGUUCCCUACUCUCGCCGACUUUACUGACGGUUCUCUCGCCGGAUCUGAGGAUCUGCAGUACGAAAAACAUAAGAUGGGUCGAAAAGUCGGUGGAGUAUACAUAAGUCCAAAGAAAUUUGGCAAUAUGACGAGGCCAUGCAUGCAGGAAAUGAUAACAUUCCUCAGCUGCUUGUCCCUUAACCAAAACAAAGAUGAUAAAUGUGCUCGGCAAAAGGAUCUGCUGAAUGCUUGUAUGGAUUCUCAGGGUUCCAAAAACAGAAAGAGUUGGGGAAGCAUCAAUUAUCAUCUGCAGAGGCUUAACAGGGGGAGGAAGUAGUUUGGGUUCUACAGAGAAGUUUCAUAAUGUACUGCAUUACUGGAGGAAAGCUUUGCGACAUUUUGCGGAGAAAAUUUUCAGCUUAAUCCUUCUCGGUGGAUUUCGUUGAAAAUUUUAUUCAUUUUGCGAAUCAAGUAUUUAUAGGAGUGGACUGCCAAUUCUUGAUGUUUAAACCAAUUCUUGACAAUGUUGUUGCUGUUUGCAACUUGGUACUUGGUAGAGAUUCAAGUUCGAGCUAUUCUUGAUGUUCAAUCGAAGCAAAGGUUUGACUUUAUAUGUUUGAAUGUUGGUCA